Long non-coding RNA from Solanum dulcamara, 345 nucleotides. RefSeq lists it as uncharacterized. NCBI's taxonomy places the organism in Eukaryota, Viridiplantae, Streptophyta, Magnoliopsida, Solanales, Solanaceae. The transcript is spliced from 2 exons. The record is from RefSeq and is a predicted model, not a curated record.
UUGUAACUCUCUUAUUGUUAUAGUGGAGCAAUUCAGAUUUUGAAGAUCUCGUGAUUGUUACCUUCGAUUUGAAAGGUUUUUCCACGUUAAAUUUGGUGUUAUUUAUUUUCUCUGUUUUUGGGUUUGCGUCCUUCCGUCAUAACAAGACCCUCGGCUCAAAAGAAGAAUAAAACAAGGUCAGAUAAGACUAUGCCACACACAUCAAAGAGAAAAGGUCAUUCUCCAAUUAUAGACGAUAUGACAAAGAAGAAUAAUGGUGUAAAGCCAACUCUUAUUGAGAUGUUCAAAAACACACACAUGAGAGCUAAUAAACAACCAGUAAAUGAGAUAGCUGGUAAAGUUAUG